RNAcentral lists this ribosomal RNA (257 nucleotides) under uncultured bacterium. RNAcentral's name for it is "partial small subunit ribosomal RNA". It matches the Rfam family "Bacterial small subunit ribosomal RNA", at positions 26 to 285 of the family's 1533-position model. The record is from RNAcentral.
AGGACGAACGCUGGCGGCGUGCUUAACACAUGCAAGUCGAGCGGUAAGGCUCCUUCGGGAGUACACGAGCGGCGAACGGGUGAGUAACACGUGAGCAAUCUGCCCUUCACAUUGGAAUAACUUCGGGAACCGAAGCUAAUACCGAAUACGACCACCGAUGGCAUCAUCUGGUAGUGGAAAGUUCCGGCGGUGAAGGAUGAGCUCGCGGCCUAUCAGCUUGUUGGUGGGGUCAUGGCCCACCAAGGCGACGACGGGUA